RNAcentral lists this ribosomal RNA (120 nucleotides) under Ceratocystis platani. The record is from RNAcentral. Lineage: Eukaryota; Fungi; Ascomycota; Sordariomycetes; Microascales; Ceratocystidaceae.
ACAUACGACCAUAGCUUGUAGAAAGCACGGGAUCCCGUCCGCUCUCCCUUAGUUAACCUACAAAGCGCUAGAAUAGUACUACGGUGGGUGACCACGUGGGAAUUCCUAGUGUUGUAUGUU